CAAUAGCGUAUAUUAAAGUUGUUGCGGUUAAAAGCUCGUAAGUUGGAUUUCUGCCGAGGAUGACCGGUCCGCCCUGUGGGUGUGCAUCUGGCUCAGCCUUGGCAUCUUCCUGAAGAACGUAGCUGCACUUGACUGUGUGGUGCGGUAUUUAGGACAUUUACUUUUGAGGAAAUUAGAGUGUUUCAAGCAAGCGCACGCUUUGAAUACAUUAGCAUGGAAUAAUAAGAUAGGACCUCGGUUCUAUUUUGUUGGUUCUAGAGCUGAGGUAAUGAUUGAUAGGGAUAGUUGGGGCGAUUCGUAAUCUGUCAGAGGUGAAAUUCUUUGGAUUGUUUAAAG
RNAcentral lists this ribosomal RNA (336 nucleotides) under uncultured eukaryote. Its description in RNAcentral is "SSU rRNA". It matches the Rfam family "Eukaryotic small subunit ribosomal RNA", at positions 592 to 934 of the family's 1831-position model. The record is from RNAcentral.